GAUGAACGCUGGCGGCGUGCCUAAUACAUGCAAGUCGAGCGAACAGACGAGGAGCUUGCUCCUUCGACGUUAGCGGCGCACGGGUGAGUCACACGUAGGUAACCUACCUGUAAGUCUGGGAUGACUUCGGGACACCGGAGCUAACCCCGGAUAAUAUUUCGUACCGCAUGGUUCGAUAGUGAAAGAUGUCUUUGUUAUCUCUUAUAGCUGCACCUGCGCCGUUUUAGCUAGUUGGUAAGGUAACGGCUUACCAAGGCAACGAUACGUAGCCGACCUGAGAGGGUGAUCGCCUACACUGGAACUGAGACACGGUCCAGACGCCUACGGGAGGCAGCAGUAGGGAAUCUUCGGCAAUGGGCGAAAGCCUGACGGAGCAACGCCGCGUGAGUGAUGAAGGUCUUCGGAUCGUAAAACUCUGUUAUUAGGGAAGAACAAACGUGUAAGUAAAUGUGCACGUCUUGACGGUACCUAAUCAGAAAGCCACGGCUAACUACGUG
This 497-nucleotide ribosomal RNA is filed under the name uncultured bacterium. Its description in RNAcentral is "partial 16S ribosomal RNA". It matches the Rfam family "Bacterial small subunit ribosomal RNA", at positions 28 to 507 of the family's 1533-position model. The record is from RNAcentral.